ACGGGGGGUGCAAGCGUUGUUCGGAAUUACUGGGCGUAAAGGGCGCGUAGGCGGCUUGCCAAGUCAGGGGUGAAAGCCUGGGGCUUAACCCCAGAAGUGCGCUUGAAACUAGUAGUCUAGAGUGCGGUUGAGGGAAGCGGAAUGCGUAGUGUAGAGGUGAAAUGCGUAGAUCUCAGACAGAAUACCGACGGCGUAGGCAGCUUACUGGACCGAAACUGACGCUGAGGCGCGAAAGCGUGGGGAUCAAACAG
RNAcentral lists this ribosomal RNA (251 nucleotides) under uncultured prokaryote. RNAcentral's name for it is "partial 16S rRNA". It matches the Rfam family "Bacterial small subunit ribosomal RNA", at positions 525 to 775 of the family's 1533-position model. The record is from RNAcentral.